Molecule: ribosomal RNA, 508 nt
Filed under: uncultured Desulfobulbus sp.
Lineage: Bacteria; Pseudomonadati; Thermodesulfobacteriota; Desulfobulbia; Desulfobulbales; Desulfobulbaceae
Description: bacterial SSU rRNA
Rfam family: Bacterial small subunit ribosomal RNA
Source: RNAcentral
CCUUGCCAGCCCGCUCAGAAACUCAAAUGAAUUGACGGGGGCCCGCACAAGCGGUGGAGUAUGUGGUUAAUUCGAUGCAACGCGAAGAACCUUACCUGGUCUUGACAUCCCGGAGACCCUUAGGAAACUAGGGGGUGCUUCCAUCUGGAAGAAUCUGGAGACAGGUGCUGCAUGGCUGUCGUCAGCUCGUGUCGUGAGAUGUUGGGUUAAGUCCCGCAACGAGCGCAACCCUUGCCUUUAGUUGCCAGCAGUUCGGCUGGGCACUCUAAAGGGACUGCCGGUGUUAAACCGGAGGAAGGUGGGGAUGACGUCAAGUCCUCAUGGCCUUUAUGACCAGGGCUACACACGUACUACAAUGGCCGAUACAAAGGGCAGCGACACUGCGAGGUGAAGCCAAUCCCGUAAAAUCGGUCUCAGUCCGGAUUGGAGUCUGCAACUCGACUCCAUGAAGUUGGAAUCGCUAGUAAUCGUGGAUCAGCAUGCCACGGUGAAUACGUUCCCGGGCCUU